GCGGUAGAUCAGUGGCAGAGCAUCUGCCUUGCAUUCAGGGGGUCCCAGGUUCAAUCCCUAGCAUCUCCC
RNAcentral lists this transfer RNA (69 nucleotides) under Podarcis lilfordi (Lilford's wall lizard). RNAcentral describes it as "tRNA.Ala". The record is from RNAcentral. Lineage: Eukaryota; Metazoa; Chordata; Lepidosauria; Squamata; Lacertidae.